This 242-nucleotide ribosomal RNA is filed under the name Vibrio lentus. RNAcentral's name for it is "partial 16S ribosomal RNA". It matches the Rfam family "Bacterial small subunit ribosomal RNA", at positions 1 to 229 of the family's 1533-position model. The record is from RNAcentral. Lineage: Bacteria; Pseudomonadati; Pseudomonadota; Gammaproteobacteria; Vibrionales; Vibrionaceae.
AAAUUGAAGAGUUUGAUCAUGGCUCAGAUUGAACGCUGGCGGCAGGCCUAACACAUGCAAGUCGAGCGGAAACGACAUUAUUGAUUCUUCGGAGGAUUUAAUGGGCGUCGAGCGGCGGACGGGUGAGUAAUGCCUAGGAAAUUGCCUUGAUGUGGGGGAUAACCAUUGGAAACGAUGGCUAAUACCGCAUAAUGCCUACGGGCCAAAGAGGGGGAUCUUCGGACCUCUCGCGUCAAGAUAUG